Molecule: ribosomal RNA, 512 nt
Filed under: uncultured Planctomycetota bacterium
Lineage: Bacteria; Pseudomonadati; Planctomycetota
Description: bacterial SSU rRNA
Rfam family: Bacterial small subunit ribosomal RNA
Source: RNAcentral
UGACCGAGCGAUGCCGCGUGCGGGAUGAAGGCCCUCGGGUUGUAAACCGCUGUCAGUUGGGAGGAAGGCUCCGUGAAGAACGGAGUUUGACCUAUCUUCAGAGGAAGUCCGGCUAAGUCGUGCCAGCAGCCGCGGUAAUACGAACCGGACAAACGUUAUUCGGAAUUAUUGGGCUUAAAGGGUGCGUAGGCGGCGCGGUAAGUGAGGUGUGAAAGCCCACGGCUCAACCGUGGAACUGCGCUUCAUACUGCCGUGCUUGAGGGAGACAGAGGUAAGCGGAACUGAUGGUGGAGCGGUGAAAUGCGUUGAUAUCAUCAGGAACACCGGUGGCGAAAGCGGCUUACUGGGUCUCUUCUGACGCUGAGGCACGAAAGCUAGGGUAGCGAACGGGAUUAGAUACCCCGGUAGUCCUAGCUGUAAACGAUGAGCACUUGGUUGGGGAUCCUCCCAUAGGUUCCCGGCCGCAGCGAAAGUGUUAAGUGCUCCGCCUGGGGAGUAUGGUCGCAAGGCUG